Molecule: long non-coding RNA, 2340 nt
Filed under: Gossypium barbadense (sea-island cotton)
Lineage: Eukaryota; Viridiplantae; Streptophyta; Magnoliopsida; Malvales; Malvaceae
Description: long non-coding RNA (GBAR_LNC009541)
Source: RNAcentral
GUUGCCAUCCCUUUGUUUUCCCAUUCCAAACUCUAGUCUUUUGAUUUCCAUCAUCCUUACAACAUUAAACCUCCAUAAUACUUCAAGAAAAACACUCCAAAACACCAUAGAUUCCCUCAUUGUCAAGCUUGUGAGUUUUUCAGGUUUUCGAUCAAACGCUCGAUUUUUUGUCAAAUAAGGUAACGAUUCAUCUUCUCAUUAGUUUUAAAUGUUAUUUAGUCUUUAAAACAAAAUUUUUAGCCAUUAAAUUGCAUGUUUUAAAUAAAAGCCAAAAAUUGGGUCUUAAUGGUGAAUUUUGGGAUUUUGCAUAAAAAUGUGGUUUCAAAGUGUUUUCAACUUGUUUUAAUAUGUUUAGAAGGUUUCUAAACAUACUUUACGUUUCGUUAAAGAAUUCUUGAUUUUUAAUGAAUUUUUGAAAAAUAGGCAUAAAACAUGUCGAAAAAGUCGAUAUUAUAAAUUGAGUAUUUUAUUGUAGUUUAAAGGUUGGGAAUUAGUUGUAGGUGAAUUAUAAGAUGAACAAAAUUGGUUUUAGGCGAAAAGAUUGAGUAUAGACUAAGAUAUUUGAGUUUUAAGUUUGCUAUGUUAAAUGUUUCGGUUACAUGAGAACUUAGUUUUGGCUUAUGUUUUUGGAUUACUUGUGGUGAGUUCUUAGCUGAUUAUUGAAUGCAUUGUUGUGUGAAUUGUUGUGUGAAGUUUCAGAUUUGAUAAGACCUUUUACGAGUAGAGAUAAAGGCAAGGAAAAGCUGGUUUGAGCUUUCAGCUUUUCAACGAAAACGUAAUUGGUGAGUGUUUGGAAUUGCUACUCGUAGACAUGAGUCAUGUGUUAAUUGAGAAUUUAGUAGUAGUCUAAACCACUACUCUAAAUUUCGAGUGUAAUUUUUCUUGUAUCUGUACCAGAGGUGAUCAUGGAUUGGGCUACCUGGCCCGGCCCGAAGGCCCAUUUAAAAAAUAGAAUGGUUCGGGUAAAAAUGUAGGCCCAAAAUAUGGGUUUGGGCAAAAAAUGAGGCCCGAUUAGAAAACGGGCUGAGCCUCAGGUAAAAUUUUUUUGGCCCGGGCCCGACCCGGCCCGGCUCGAAUUAUAUACUAAAUAUUUUUUUUAUUUUUAAUCAUAUUCAUUUUUUUUUCAAUUUUAAUAUAACCAUUUUUAUUAUAUUUUCAAUUUAUGUAUUGAUUUAAGAAUUAUUUUAGUCUCAUUUUUUAUUUGUUUCUUAUUUUAAUAUUUGUUUUUAUAUUUUUAAAUAUAUUUGAUUUAUUAUAUUUUUAAUUUUUUUAUUUAAUGAAAUAAGCUAAAAAAAUAAUAUGGGCCGGGCCAGGCUGGGCUGGGCUUAACAAUUUUCUUUUGGGCUGGGCUUGGACAAAUUUUCAGGCUCAUAUUUCGGUUCGGGCUGGGCCGGGCCCGUGCCUAGAAAACGAGCUUAAAAUUUUUUCUGGGCUCGGCCCGAACCUGGCCCAUGAUCACCUCUAAUCUAUACUCAUUUUGUGGUUUUGUGCUUUUGUGAUUAUGAAAUUGUGCAUGGUAAUGAGAAGCUCAAACAUGUGAUAUGUGGAUAUGGUGACUGUUGUGAAAAGUGCAAAUGUAUACAUGAUAUAUAAAUUUGUUAAAUGAUAGUGAUAGUGUUUUGCAAAAGAUGUUAACAUGCAGUGAUAGUGCACGGAUAAUCAGUAAGUGAUAUGUGAUUGUUUUUCAGAUAUUUUGGCCUUGUAAUCUUGAAACUGUUGGGUAUAGUUGGCAUGCCAUAGAAUUGUGAGUACUCACCUAUACAUACAGUGAUUUUGGGGUGUUGAGGCCCUGGAAUAUGUUGGAGGGAUAAGGGAAUGUGAGCUAAGCUCCAUUCAACGGGACAUGUGAGAGGAAAUAAGGAGAGUGUUAGCUUUAUGCUACACUUUUGGGACAUGUUUGACUCUAUGAGUCUAUAUUUGGUGUGUUGGAGAUCCGUGUAUCCUAUGAGUGAUGACAAAGCUCGUUAUAUGUUUCAUAACUCAAGCGCCAAUCUAGUAUAUUAUAUGUAACUAUGUUGAACAUGUUUUAUGCUUAAUGGAGUAUGCGCUAUAUCGCCAAUCUAUCAUAUUAAAUGUAAUUGUGUGGAACAUGUUUAUGCUUAAUGGAGUAUGUGCUAUAUUGCAAAUUUAUCAUUAUAUGUGAUUUGAGAGAACUGUGAUAUAUGGUUGUUUAAGUAUGUGUGUUACAUGAUAUAUGUUUGCAUGAAUAUGUAAAUGCUAUGUAGAAGAACUAGUAGAUAAAGCAUGGUUAGGUACUCUACGACACUAGACAUAGGAUUAUUGUAAUUGUACUUAAAUGGUUUUCUUGAGGAUGCAUGAUGGUAUGUGUGUGAUGUGGUC